AGAAUCAACGCUGGCGGCGUGCCUAACACAUGCAAGUCGCACGAGAAAGUGGAGCAAUCCACGAGUAAAGUGGCGCACGGGUGAGUAACACGUGAAUGAUCUACCUCCGAGUGGGGAAUAACUGAGAGAAAUCUUAGCUAAUACCGCAUAAUACCCACGGGUCAAAGCAGCAAUGCGCUUGGAGAGGAGUUCGCGGCCGAUUAGCUAGUUGGCGGGGUAAUGGCCCACCAAGGCGAUGAUCGGUAUCCGGCCUGAGAGGGCGCACGGACACACUGGAACUGAAACACGGUCCAGACUCCUACGGGAGGCAGCAGUGGGGAAUUUUGCGCAAUGGGGGAAACCCUGACGCAGCAACGCCGCGUGGAGGAUGAAAUCCCUUGGGAUGUAAACUCCUUUCGAUAGGGAAGAUAAUGACGGUACCUAUAGAAGAAGCCCGGCUAACUUCGCGCCAGCAGCCGC
RNAcentral lists this ribosomal RNA (459 nucleotides) under uncultured bacterium. RNAcentral's name for it is "SSU rRNA". It matches the Rfam family "Bacterial small subunit ribosomal RNA", at positions 26 to 518 of the family's 1533-position model. The record is from RNAcentral.